UCGCACCUCGCCGUCUCUACUGC
This 23-nucleotide microRNA is filed under the name Macacine gammaherpesvirus 4 (Rhesus lymphocryptovirus). Its description in RNAcentral is "rlcv-miR-rL1-3-3p". Its record names the gene rlcv-miR-rL1-3-3p. The record is from miRBase by way of RNAcentral. Lineage: Duplodnaviria; Heunggongvirae; Peploviricota; Herviviricetes; Herpesvirales; Orthoherpesviridae.